Molecule: ribosomal RNA, 510 nt
Filed under: Triticum aestivum (bread wheat)
Lineage: Eukaryota; Viridiplantae; Streptophyta; Magnoliopsida; Poales; Poaceae
Description: partial small subunit ribosomal RNA
Source: RNAcentral
AUGACAAAACCUAAGAGGGGAGGGGGCAUUGGGUUUAGGGACAUGAGUCUCUUUAACCAAGCCCUUCUAGCUAGGCAAGCAUGGAGGUUGAUCCAACGUCCAGAUAGCUUGUGUGCACGGGUGCUAAAAUCUAAGUACUAUCCACACGGGGAGCUUAUUGAUACUGUCUUUGCAUCCGAGGCCUCUCCUAUUUGGCGUGGAAUUGAACAUGGACUGGAACUUCUAAAAGCAGGACUAAUUUGGAGAAUCGGUGAUGGGAGGAAGAUAAACAUCCAGAGAGACAAUUGGAUACCUCGAAGGGAAGGCCUAAACCCAGCCAAGUUCAUUCGAAGGUCCAGACUUCGUUGGGUCAAUCAAUUGAUGCAACUCGAUGGUAGCGGAUGGAACACAGAGCUGAUUCACCAAUUAUUCUAUAUGUUUGAUGCGGAGGAGAUCUGCAGCAUAAGAUUACCUAGAACAGGGGGCUCCGAUAUGUUGGCCUGGCACUACGAAAAGUCAGGCGUGUUCUAG